GUGCGGGAUUAUUUCAUGUUCAGUUAGGUUUAUUUUGAUGGCUGUGGUUUUUUGACGGGUGCUGUGUUCACCGUCUUGUUUUGGUCAAGUGUAAUUGUUACCUUGUGCCUUGUUGGGGAAAGUACGUUGCUCACUCAUUCUGCUUUCCUGCAUCUGACUUCAUGCACCAGCUACACCCACCUUCUGACAUGCAUGCUGUUCAUGUGUGUAUGAUCAAACUUAAUGAUCUUGCUUUUCAAAAGGAUGACAAGAUAAAGCAUAUUAAUGUUAUGCAUUUAUGUUCCUCCCUUCAUUGAGUUGAUAGACGGUCUCUUGCUCAGGAUGUACUGAUGCACAAGUCCCAUAGAGCAGUGCUGGUUAGAGAGGCAGAGAUGAGCUGGAAACCAUGGCAACUCAGUGCUUCACUUCUCCAUUCCCCAAGCCCUGCUGGAGAGGAGACGAAUACCUGUGCAGGCCUAAUCCCAUUCAACACCUGCAUACAAAGAAGGCCUCCGUUUUGGCAUGAUAUGAAAAUACACAGGGGAUUGACAAGAUACAUUUUUGAUGGACUGCUGUUUUCCUACAAUGUCUCCAUAUCACACGGAGUACACACCAACGCUGACAAACAGCUCUGGCUAUUGGUUUGGCACCCUCCACCUAAUUCCACUGGUGAAACAUUUACUGUGGGGAUACAAAUUAAUCGCCUCCUUCUUCUACCUCUAAUGAAUGGAAGCUAAACCGUAUUUGUGUCCCAAGCCAUUGAUUAAAGCUACCAGCACUUUU
This is a long non-coding RNA of Oncorhynchus kisutch (coho salmon), 762 nucleotides long. RefSeq lists it as uncharacterized. The record is from RefSeq and is a predicted model, not a curated record. The transcript has 2 exons. Lineage: Eukaryota; Metazoa; Chordata; Actinopteri; Salmoniformes; Salmonidae.